AGAACGAACGCUGGCGGCAUGCCUAAUACAUGCAAGUCGAACGAACUCUUCGGAGUUAGUGGCGCACGGGUGCGUAACGCGUGGGAAUCUGCCCCUUGGUUCGGAAUAACAGUUGGAAACGACUGCUAAUACCGGAUGAUGACGAAAGUCCAAAGAUUUAUCGCCAAGGGAUGAGCCCGCGUAGGAUUAGCUAGUUGGUGAGGUAAAGGCUCACCAAGGCAACGAUCCUUAGCUGGUCUGAGAGGAUGAUCAGCCACACUGGGACUGAGACACGGCCCAGACUCCUACGGGAGGCAGCAGUAGGGAAUAUUGGACAAUGGGCGAAAGCCUGAUCCAGCAAUGCCGCGUGAGUGAUG
RNAcentral lists this ribosomal RNA (356 nucleotides) under uncultured soil bacterium. Its description in RNAcentral is "bacterial SSU rRNA". It matches the Rfam family "Bacterial small subunit ribosomal RNA", at positions 26 to 410 of the family's 1533-position model. The record is from RNAcentral.